Molecule: non-coding RNA, 2036 nt
Organism: Phoenix dactylifera (date palm)
Lineage: Eukaryota; Viridiplantae; Streptophyta; Magnoliopsida; Arecales; Arecaceae
Source: RefSeq, a predicted model, not a curated record
CUCCUCUCGAUGCUUAGAGCGCGAGUUCGCAGUUUAGAUUUCGGGGAGAGAGAUUCCAGAAGAAAAGAAAGCUCGAGAAGAGAGAAGCAGAGCCGGGUGGAAUCCAGGUCGAGGGUGGUGGGUUGGAGAAAGCAAUGGCAGUACGGAGCUGUCGUCUCCUCCUCCUCCUCCUCCUCCUCGUCUUUUGGCUUCUCUCAGGUCAAGUCCUCCAAACUCUUAGCCUCACGAUUGGAAUCAACUAUGGGCAGAUUGCCAACAAUCUCCCUUCUCCUACCCGAGUUGCUGGCCUCCUCCAAUCCCUUAACAUCAGCAGAGUAAAGCUCUAUGAUGCUGACCAGAAAGUCCUCAGUGCCUUUCUCAAUACCAACAUUGAGUUCAUAAUUGGAAUUGGCAAUGAGAAUGUGUCAACAAUGACAGACUUAGCAAAAGCCCAAGCAUGGCUCCAACAGCAUGUCAAGCCUUACAUUCCACAUACCCGAAUCACCUGUAUCACUGUCGGAAAUGAGGUCUUCACUAGCAAUGACACUGUUUUGAAGUCUAACCUUCUUCCAGCAAUGCAAUCAGUAUACCAAGCUCUCGUUGCCCUCGGAUUGGACAAGCAAGUGAACGUCACCACUGCACAUUCCCUUGACAUCUUGGGAAACUCCUACCCUCCUUCCUCAGGCUCUUUCCGCCAGGAUCUCGCUGAGUAUAUUCAUCCCCUCCUCAACUUCCAUUCUAUGACCAAGUCCCCCUUCCUUGUAAAUGCCUAUCCUUACUUCGCUUACAAAGCGAACCCGAAUACUAUCUCGUUGGAAUAUGUCCUCUUCCAGCCUAAUGCAGGAGUCCCUGAUCCAAAUACAAAUCUGAAUUAUGACAACAUGCUUGAUGCUCAGGUCGAUUCAGUUUAUACUGCAAUUCAAGCAAUGGGUCAGACAGAUAUUGAUGUAAGGAUUUCUGAGACUGGGUGGCCAUCCAAGGGAGAUCCUGACGAGGCAGGGGCCACUCCAGAGAAUGCUGCAAUUUAUAAUGGGAAUUUGUUGCGAAGGAUAGCAAUGAAUCAGGGCACGCCCCUGAAGCCGUCAGUGCCCAUUGAUAUCUAUGUUUUUGCGUUGUUUAAUGAAGAUUUAAAACCAGGGCCAACCUCGGAAAGGAAUUAUGGGCUGUUUUAUCCUGAUGGUACCCCAGUUUAUAAUAUUGGAUUACGUGGUUACCUUCCACUAAUGUCAUCAUCUUCCAAGCGGAUGGUGAUUCAUGGGCUAGGCCUUCACAUCAUGACGAUAGCAGCUUUCCUGUUAGCUUAAAAGCAUAUUAUCUAGAUGAUGAGCGAAGUGGAGGAACAGCUAAUGGCUGAGGAUUUAUUGCCCCCACCAGUUUUCGGAAGGUCUUCAGGUAAUUGGCUGGUUGAAAUCCUCUCCGUGCGCUUCUCUGUCUUGAUAGGUCCAGUUCCACUUUAAGCUUAGAAAAAGUUGAAAGAGUUGUCAAACGUGACCGCUUCUGACGGUUAGUGUAGCAAUACGGUCAUUGGUCAAGUUUUGUCUUAGCAUCAAUCCUGCGUUGCAGCCUCUACCCUUCCCUUCUGCUGUUGUUCCUGGACUCCUUCCAACAGAGUGUCAUCUUUUUGCCAUGAUGCGCCUGCCACGGAUUCCACAUACAAAGCACCGUGUAUUUCUUGUGGCACCUAUGAUCUUUACUUAUUGACCUAACCCAGAUACUGUCUUUGGUGCAGGCAAAUCCUCUAGAGAUUCUCCUACUCUGAAGCACCCUACGCUGUGCCUGAAUUUUGCUAUAUCACAUUGUGAUUGGCAGCAUAAGCUGGCGACAACUGGCUCCGGUGAAAGCAACCGGCUGAAAUUUAGGGACAGAAAAGCAGUUGAUUUAAAAAUCUUUUGUGCAGAAAUAAAUCGCAACGAGCAAGUAAACUUAGAAAAACUAAUGUUUAACUUUUGAAGGAAUAAUGAAUGCUCCAAGUCCAUGUAACCUUCGGGACCGGCGUUUGAGAUUUGUAAUACUCUCAGGUUGCUAUUUACUUCAUAAACAAUAAAGGCCAUUUGCUA